UUUAGUUAACAUAAUGUUACAAUAAAGAAAUUUAAGGAUAUGUUACAAACUUCAAUGUCACUACAUUUACAAUCCAUAUGUGAUAAACAAUAGUGACCCGUAGCUCGUACAUGUACAAUAUCCAUGUUAGAAGGUCCAGCACACUUUCCUGCUUCAUUCUUACUAAACUUAAGAGAAUAGACAUACAAUGUGUUAUCCUUGCAAUAUGAGAGGCAAAGUACAGACCCACAACAGUAUUUCAAAUAGGCAUAAGAGAGAAUAUAUUGCAUUACUUCUAUAAGGCUGCUCCCAGUGCUAAGCCUGACAUGUAAGUAGAAAAUUGAUGUGACAUCUUAAUCAAGGAGUAGAGAGAAUCGUUUGGUAACCCCAUGGAGAAACUAUACCAGCGCAGGUACCUAGGAGAAAACAGAGUUAAUACGAUCCCGUGCGCUGAACCGAAUGGUCGCCCCAACUCCCCCAUGCACAGCCCCAUCCGCCGCUUCUUCCUCGCCCCGC
This 495-nucleotide long non-coding RNA is filed under the name Triticum aestivum (bread wheat). RNAcentral's name for it is "long non-coding RNA (TAES_LNC020409)". The record is from RNAcentral. Lineage: Eukaryota; Viridiplantae; Streptophyta; Magnoliopsida; Poales; Poaceae.